This 869-nucleotide long non-coding RNA is filed under the name Coffea arabica (coffee). RNAcentral's name for it is "long non-coding RNA (CARA_LNC007860)". The record is from RNAcentral. Lineage: Eukaryota; Viridiplantae; Streptophyta; Magnoliopsida; Gentianales; Rubiaceae.
UUUUUUUUUGUUGAAAUAUUGACUUUGGAAACUAACAAAUAAAUAAGUCUUUAACAAUCUAGUAUACCAAGUUAAAUAAUAUUAAAAAUUUAAUUUCAGGUAUACAAAUAAUAAUAGCAUAGGAAAUAAAUAAUGAAAAAAGAAAAUAAAAAGGGAAGAAACUAAAAAGAAAAUGUCAGAAAAAAAUUAAAAAAAUAGAAUAAUUAAAACAGAAGGGAUAAUAUUUUUUCCAAACAUCUCAUGAGAGGGAGAGGAGGGCAAAGUGCCUACUAAAAUAGUUUAUGACAUUUUUUUUCAAAACGGCAAUAUUUUAUUAAUAGUCUAAGCCAAGUUACAUAAAAGGUGAGCAACUACCCUUACAAUCUGCUUGCACUAACUCAAGCAGCCAGACUGGGAAGUCAUCCUUUCAUUUAACAAAUUCCUUCAAGAUAAUUCCCAUUGGCUAGUUUAUGACUAACAAAGUUGUUUACCCUUCUAGUAAAAGUAAAACAACAUUCAUCAAAGUUGGACUUAAGUUUCCUAAUAUCAAAUACAACUACUGACCUUAUUACAUCAUCUUCCUCUCUGUUUAUCCCAUUCACCACCUGCAAACAAUCUGUUUCAGACUCCACACUUCUCCAUCCUUGUUGCUUCGCCACCAACAUAGCAGCUCUUAGCACCAUUGCCUCCUCUAGCUUUGGAUUUGAGUAGCUUGAGUUUGGCACUGCCCAGGCUCCUAACACCUUCCAUUGCCAGUCCCUCGCAACCAUUCCCCAGCCUACCUUAUCCAUUUUUUGGUAUAGAGCUGCAUCUGAAUUUAUCCUGACCCAGCUCUUCUUUGGUCUCUUCCAGCCAUUCGAUGCCUCUUCUACACUCUUACUAUAUCCCCC